GCUUGUCUCAAAGAUUAAGCCAUGCAUGUCUCAGUAUAAGCUUGUGCAUAGUGAAACUGCGAACGGCUCAUUAUAACAGUUAUAAUUUGUUUGGUGUUCAAGUUUACAUGGGUAACUGUGGCAAUUCUAGAGCUAAUACAUGCUGUUAAACCUUAAGGUUGUAUUUAUUAGAUAUCAAGCCGAUAAUUUUGAUGAUUCAUAAUAACUGAUCGAAUCGAGGGAUUCCUCGAUAAAUCAUUCAAGUUUCUGCCCUAUCAGCUAGAUGGUAGUGUAUUGGACUACCAUGGCAGUCACGGGUAACGGAGAAUUAGGGUUCGGUUCCGGAGAGGGAGCCUGAGAAAUGGCUACCACAUCUAAGGAAGGCAGCAGG
Molecule: ribosomal RNA, 370 nt
Filed under: uncultured Scuticociliatia
Lineage: Eukaryota; Ciliophora; Oligohymenophorea
Description: partial small subunit ribosomal RNA
Rfam family: Eukaryotic small subunit ribosomal RNA
Source: RNAcentral